This 1440-nucleotide long non-coding RNA is filed under the name Musa acuminata (dwarf banana). RNAcentral's name for it is "long non-coding RNA (MACU_LNC010843)". Lineage: Eukaryota; Viridiplantae; Streptophyta; Magnoliopsida; Zingiberales; Musaceae. The record is from RNAcentral.
AACAUCUCCGAAAAACACUUCAUAGACAAUGGAAAUUACAAACAGACUUUACAAGCUCUGAACAGUGGCACAACAAAGGGUAAAAUGGUCCAUUACAGACCGAAAAGCUCUCGCACAUGUCCACAUGACAUAACCUUUAUUUACAAGCCUAAAGAGGCCACCAACCCAACUAAAGUGGGACUAUUAAGCCUUCGGCCGCCCCUCUACAUUCUGUACAAGGCAUGAACAUGCCAACAGACACGGACAGAUAUAAGCAUUACAUCAAACAUCCUGUUUCAAAGUUUGUCCAUGACAUUCUCCCCCACUUAUCCCUUCGACGUCCUCGUCGAAGCCUUUGUGAACACUACAACUCUUCGCCUUUGCUGAGUCUUCAAUCUUCCGCUCUAGCUGCAAUGCGCCUCCUGGCUCCCAGCUGCUCUCCGCUGUUGUUUUUGAGUAGUCGAACCUUUGAUCCGCCAUGCUGCUUCAACUCGCCAAUGACUCUGACUCUGGUGUGGGGUUGGCUGAGUUGUGUUGAUCCUUGUUGAUUCCUAUGGAUCCACCAAAUGAAGGAAAAGACCAUCCUUACUGCGCCAGUCUCUCAAAAUUUCCACAUGCUGCUUGAACUGGGUGGAUGCUUGUUGGAGCUUUAACGAGCAUCGCCUCGCAAACUUCUGAAGUUUUGGGUCCUUCCUCCACAAAAUCUGCUCAUUGACUCUUCUUUCAGUUAGUUGUCACAUCCAAGUAGGUUCGCAUCACUUCCGCUUUCGAUUGGCAUUUCAUUGGGAAAUAAAGCAGACAAUCUACUCUCAGUAGCACUGAUCACCGUUGGUGAGGAUUUGACAACUAUUGUCUUCCAUUAUCUUCGAAGGGUCUUUGAACUUGUGCAGAGCUCCUCUGCUGGAUAGAUAAGAGAACUGGGGUACUCGGUUUCGCCCAUUCUCUUGAGAGUUGAGAAGGCAAAGGUUACUUGACUUCGCCCGCCUCCUCGAGGUUGUACUUCAUGCAUCGAGCUGGUUACUGGCCUUCGCCUGCUCUUUGCUCACACUUCUGAAGCACUUGAAGUGUUUGCACUCCUUGCGUUGAGUUAGCUACUGUGAUUCACCUUCUCAAUGCCAUCGAACUUCUGGAAUGCGGAAAGUUUUCACCCCAACUUGGAGUAAUUCUCUGAUAGAUGAGGUCGCCUCUGGGAUUGUACCAUCUUCUCCAUCAACCCUGCCGCCUACUCCACUGAGUAGCAAAGGUACAGCACCGCGUACUGCCUACUUCGUUCCUUGGUCGUGCACUCUUGCAUGACCCGAAGUCCUUCCCUUACGGCUAUCUUGAUGAGAAACUUGUUGACACCGGUCUUACGAAGUUUCUUGGCCUCUGCCCUUCAGCCUUGUCUUGGUACUUGGAGAUUGCCUCUGCAUACUCCACCUCCUCGACCCCUUUCACGACCAAGCGCUCUCCCUCCAUGAG